UCCGAUCCGGAAAGUAACCCAACUAGCUACUCAUUUUAGUUUGUACCUACCAAUCGCUGCACUCGCAGCCCACGAAGUCCGCCAUUCCGAUCCGGGACUCCGGCAGAGUAGUAAUAAAAUAAAAUAGAAGUUAUGUAUGUAUGUUUAUCGUUCCAUUUACAUACGGAGAGCUGAAGAAUCAAGCACGCCAUCAUCUUUCUCUCUCCAACUUCCAACAAUACCACUUUAUCUGUCCAUACUCCUAUAUAUAUAUUACACCUAUAUAUACAGAAGUUUGAGUAACUUGCGGAUGAUCGAUGGCGCUUUCACGGCUAAGACAUCCGGUGAUUUCACGGGCUCCUCGCAUUUUCUCUUCCACCGCCUUCACCUUUCGAUACCUUGCUCGGUACGAUCUGUCGGUUCUUAAAUUUCAAUGUAUUUAUUUAUACAAAAUUCUAUUCAGAUGGUUAGUAAUACUUUCAUUUUAAAUAAAUUUACCUGAUAAAGAGUGUAUUGACAAUUGUAUCUUUUGUUUCCAAGUGUUGUGGGAUUAGUAAUGAUGCUGUUUUGGAUUUUUUAAGAUGCAAUAAACUUAAUUUUGUAUCCAAAUUUGGCUGAAUUAUGGUGGAGCUGUUUGAUAGUGGGAGUUGGGGUAGUCUCUGGCUGGCUGAGUGGUGAGAAAUUGUCGAAAUCUAGUAUCAGUUCAAUAAGUAAGAGCCCUGUUUCUGCAUUUGAAUUGCAAUGCAAUAUUGCACCUAUGAGUUUAGGAAGAUAGUGGAAAUUGUUUCUCAAGCAUAUUUUGUCUUUGUUUCUUGAGAAUGAAGGAGUACUUUGCAAUGUAGGCUUCUUUUAGCUUAAGAUGAUGUUUUUGGGCUUCCUUAGUUCCUUAGCUUAUUAAGAUGAUGUUUGCAAUGAUCAUAAAUUCUUUUUUUUUCCUACCAAACAAAAUUUAACAAAUAAGGAUACCAUAAUAAGAAAAGAUACCCGCCCAGUUGCAGUGAAGCAAGACUUUUAAUUGGUCCUCCUAUUAAACUCACUCUGGUACCAUGUGAAUGCUAGAAUACAAUCUUAUUCCAUACUUAUGAAUGUUCGUAAUAUAGCCUUUAUGUAGGCCAAGACAACAGCUGUACAUGGAAAGGAAAUUCAUCACUCAAAUCAAUCAGUGAUCCAUAAUUACUACUGAUCAUGCAUCUAGAAUAAUCAUAGCUCAACGGAUUACCAUUAAUCAUACAUCUAUAAUAAUCCUAACUCCAGUGUUCAUUCCGAUAAUCAUGAUUCUUAAAUCCUUCUAGAAUCAUCUCUAACAACUCCACUUAUCACGCUAAUAAUCAUGAUUCUAGAAUCCUCUCUAACUCAGAAGGUGAAUGAACAAAGAAUAGAGUAGGAAGAAGAGAGAUAAGGAGGGAAGCUAGAAAAUGGGAGAAAUUAUAGUAACAGAGGAAAACUUGCAAAAUAUAGUCUAACACAGAGAAGAAAGAGGAAAAAUUAGAGUUAAGAGAAAGAAAAUAAAAGAAUAUGUGGAAGAGACUAGAGAGACAAUGUAGAAGAGAGUGCAUGAAGAAGAUAAGAAGAGCAUAAGAGGAAGCAUAUAUAAGUGAGAGAACUAGUAGAGUUGUAGAGUUGGAGAGAGGGAUUUUGGGAACAGGAGAGAAGACUUCCUAUCUACCUCAACAUAUAUCUCAUCAUAGUCCAUAGUCCAUGGCUCUACACCUUACAUUGUACUUUUUCCUUGUGUAAGUUACUAGGUGUAUCAUGUAUUGUGAGUCUAGACCAACUCUUGAUUAAUUUAACCUAAAUUUUUUUAAUAGGCAAAACUAAUGAAUUACACAACGUAGUUGACAUGUUUUACUGAUUACAUCAUUGAACUUUUAAUUUUUUAAAUUACGCCAAUAAAGUAAUUAUUAUUUUGAAAUUGGGUCAUUCCAUUAAAAAAUUAAACGGACGUUAAUUUUUUAUUGGCAAAACUAAUGAAUUACCCACUGUAGUUGACACGUUUUACUAAUUACACCAUUGAACUUUUAAUUUUUCAAAUUACGCUAGUUAACUAAUUAUUAUUUUAAAAUUGGGUCAUAUUGUUAAAAAAAUUAAACAUGCGUUAUUUUUUUAUCUACGUGGCUUUGAAAAAGAAAUAAAAAAAAUCAAAAAUAUUACUUAUAUGACAAAAAAAUAACUUGAAAGUGAAAACAAAAAAAUCAAAUUUUUUGGGUACUCGGAUCUUAUUAGAUGUUUAUCAAUAGAAAAAACUUCCUCAAGAAUGGAAAACAAUUCAUCAGUAGCAGAAAUGAAAGCGUGGUAAUUGGUAACAGUUACCUCUUGCAUGUGCCUCUGAAUUCUCUCCGAAUUCACCCGUAAAAACUCAGGUUCCUACCAAAUCAUAAAUACAAUCCCAACAAAAUCAAUUUAACCAAAUAUUACUAUCACAUGUGUAUAUAUAUAUACACACACACACACAUAGAUAUAGAGAGAUUGGGGAAGGGAUGGACCUUGUGGAGGCGAUCUAGAGUGAAGGAGAGGAGUUCAAAGACAUAAGGCUGCUGAGAAUCGGAGCCAAGAGGCAAGAGGCAAGAGGAAGGAAACCUACUGCAUUACCAUUUACUUCAUUUGUUGUUGUUGGGGAUUCAGACUUCAUUGUUAUAUCUAAUACUGAACUUUGAAGCUCAAUUCAAUGUUUUGGGUACUCGGAUCUCGAAACUUUCAUAGAUUUUAAAGAGAGAAAAUACGAAAAUCUAUUAUAGUAGUUUGAACUUUAAACGAGUCGAGUAUAAUUUUGAUCAGAUUCUGCUCGUAUUUUUAUUCAAACUAUUUUUAUGCUCAAAUUUAGAUCAUAUUAUUAACGAAUCCAAGUCUUGUAUUUUUUUGAGUCGAGCCUGAAUCGAUCCCGAACUGUUAAGUUCAUUUACAAUUUUAGAUGGGAGGAAGGAAGAGAGAAUAAAUUAAAUUUAUUUAUUUUCUUUUUUCUUUUCACGUCCACGUAGGAUAAAAAUUAAAACGAUUUAAUAGUCGUGAGACAGAGAUAACAGAAUGAUUCAAUUUCAAAAUAAUAAUUAGUUUACUGAGGUAAUUUGAAAAAUUAAAAGUUCAAUGACGUAAUCAGUAAAACGUGUCAACUACAGUGGAAAAUUCAUUAGUUUUGUCGAUAAAUUAAAGUCCGUUUAAUUUUUUUAACGGAAUGACCCAAUUUCAAAAUAAUAAUUAGUUUACUGGGAUAAUUUGAAAAAUUAAAAGUUCAAUGAUGUAACCAGUAAAACGUGCCAACUACAGUGAGUAAUUCAUUAGUUUUGUCUUUUUUUAAUAGAUUUACAAAAAAACAACUUAGGGAUAGGGAAAUGUCCUACAUAUGUUAUAUUCUUUUAAUCCAUCAUCCAAGUAAAAGCAUCGGAUAUCCCUUAGACCAUGUCAAGCUUGAACCUAUUUGAGUUCAACUACUGCAAUAAUGGAGUUGGGAUUUUGAGAAAUAAGGGUUUUACGAAGAACUUGGAGAAGAAGAAAUCUUGAGAGCGAAGGAUUGGAUAAACCACCCUUUUAAUUCAGUUCAUUCAUAUGGACAUUCAUUACAUUCUAUUUUCUUAUUUAGAGACUAUUAACAUGAACCAAGUAUGCUAAAAUGCACUAUAGGAGGCAUAGUUGUCACAACAUUGUGUAGGCGUCCUGACGCUAGAGAAGGAAAAGGCAAUAUUGGACGCCGAACUGCCAAGACUCACACCUUGGUAGCUUGCCCAAGUUAAGUAAUUAAGUCAUUUUGUACCCAUGACUCAUAACCCAUGUACUUGCUAUGUGGUGUAAUUUUAUUAUUUAUUAGAAUUGUAAUGUGUGAUGGGUGUUGAAUUCGUUGAUUCUUUAUUUUCUACGUAUUGUUGACUUGUUCUACUAGUUUUAUUUUUGAAUAUGUGAAAUAUUCAUAUAACUGUGUUUUAAUUGUAUUUCAUAAUGUUAGUUAUGAUGUUUUGAGUUUUAAUGUAUAUAAAAUUUUAUUGUUCAAAAUACUUUUGGAAUAAAAUAAAUAAAAUGUAUAAAUUACACAUUGUUAACGACUUUAUGCCAUGACUGACGUCUUAUCUCCUAGGCGUCCUAGCGGUCAACUACGCUGCGUCUCGGCGUGGCAACAUGACAACUAUGAAUUGGGAGUAUGGGGUAAACUACCACUUAUAGUUUACUUUAUUUAUCCUAGUGUCCUUUGGCCUUACAUUGCCUUCACCUCAAAUGAUUCAUUUCCUCAUGGAUGUUAAGCUUUUGUUCCUUUGGCAUUCCUCUUAUCAAAAUUGAUGUGUUGGAAUUUGCAUAACUCAAUCCUUCAUAAGUUGUCUACAACGGCUCCCUAAAUUUUAUCCAGUUCAAAAGAAAUUUCUUCCCUGCCUUACCCUUAUGAUCCGGGACUUAAACAAUCGUAGGCAUAGGCAUAUACAUAGGCACAAAACUUUGCAGUAUAUAUGCUUAAAUUCAGUUAUAUAGUCCUCUGACUUGCCUGCCUCGAGUUUGAAAACCACCUUAUCACUAGGUAGGGCUUCUAGCAGUGCCUCAUUGAUUCAAGGGCUUCAAGAAAGAUGACUUGAACCUUAGACCUUGGUUCUUUUGUUGACAUGUCAUGGAGUUGAUAGAGGAAAUAGGUUGAAAAAAAAUCAUUCUUACUUACCUAAACUCAGAUUUAGUGGUCAAAGUGAAACAAUGACUGAUGAGCAAUUUCUCCUCAACUCUAGUGCAAAAUAUUGUUUCUAUUGAUGUAGUUGAUACCCAGAUCAUAUUUUUAUGCAUGAUCAGAGAUUUUUGUAAAUCUAUCCUUCACACAAGUUAUUUAGACAUGUACCAAAUGCACCAUUUUGCUGUCACUAAAAACUUUAGCAUGUCCGAGUAUUCUAAACUUUGUAUUUUGGCGGAUCACAGAUUUACAAUACACCUGCAUCUGCUGCUACAAGCAGCUCCCUGUAGUAGUGAUUUUGGUUUAGGAAAGUGUUAUCAUAUCUGAGUCAUUUGUCCACCAAGGAAUACAUAAUAUAAUUUCUGUUAUCUCCCAUAUAUCAAUGAAGUGUACGUCUAUUUAUGCAAUGCCAUGUGUGCUGUUUAUGUUAUUGAUCAAUGUUUUGUUGCUAGUGCAGCAGUUCUGGCUUACAGAAAUCUAUUACUAAUAUUGAUGGAACAUUGUUAAGGUCUGCAUCUAUGAACUUUUGGCUUGUUGGCCCUUGAGAUGAUAAUAUGAUUGCAUUACAUGAUCUAUUUACCCAUAUCAUUUUUUGUAGCUAUUAAUAUUAAUGGCAUUUGUUAAAAAGUUUUUGUUCUCUAGAGUACCAAAUGCCUGACAAAAGUUCAGGAAGUAGGUCUAAGUUUGAGUUUUGUAAUAGUUCGACUUGGCAUUUUGAAAUGACUGAAAUCAAAACCUUGGGAAGCUUUUAGAUUAAGGUUCAGGGACAAACGUAAUGUAAAAAUCAAACGGAGAAAGGCGACGUAGACACUUGAUCACAGUGUAUUUCUAAACCCCAGACUCAGUUCAAAACUCAAUCCAACUUCCAGUGUCGGGUGUGGGUGAUUGUGUCAAAGUUCAAAAAUGGUUAUUUCCUUAGAUUCGUUAGUAAUUUUCGAGACUUAUACCCAGUUUGAGCAUUUUUUCAUCCCUUCCAUAAUAAGCUUUGACCAAAUAUCAAACAAAUGACCCCCACAAGAUCAGGUUUGUCAGUUCAUUGUUUCAUUAGGUGAUUUGAAUUGAUCAAUCAUGACAAUCUUCUUGUUCCUAUAUCCUUGACUUAUCACUGAUGAUGAAGUUUAUCAGGCCUAUAGCUCCGUCAGUACACACUGGAAUUCAUGAAAAUUCUUCCAAACUCGAGGUUAGUCAUUAAACUUUUUAACAAUAUUCAUUGUUCGCACAUUAAUUUCUAACAUUCAUCGUGUUUUUGCAGUUGCAAACGGGUUUCAGAUACUUCUCAUCUGCAGGUAUAGUUGUACAGAUGUUCUCUUUUAUAUACUUUAAAUCUUUGUUCUAUAUAGCACUCUUAAAACUCUAAUAGUUUUUUGCUUGAAGGAGCUUGUGUUAGUAUUACCUAAUUCCAAAUUUUAGAUGUUGAAUUUUUAGAGCUGUCUUGGGAAACCUAUUUUGGACAAACUAUUUAUGGUCUUGCAUUAGAAACCAUAGAAAAUAUUUUCAAUUUUAUUAUUUGGAUAGCCUUGCACUACAUGAGAAAUAAUAAC
RNAcentral lists this long non-coding RNA (6153 nucleotides) under Panax ginseng (ginseng). RNAcentral describes it as "long non-coding RNA (PGIN_LNC015290)". Lineage: Eukaryota; Viridiplantae; Streptophyta; Magnoliopsida; Apiales; Araliaceae. The record is from RNAcentral.